CGAGCCAUCCGGGUGAUCGCGGCAGCGGUGAGCUGUCGAGGAAAGUCCGGGCUCCAUAGAGCAGGGUGGUGGGUAACGCCCACCCGGGGUGACCCGAGGGAAAGUGCCACAGAAACAUACCGCCGGCCAGUCGGCCGGUAAGGGUGAAAAGGUGCGGUAAGAGCGCACCGGCGGCGUGGUGACACGCCGGCCAGGCAAACCCCACCCGGAGCAAGGCCGAGUAGGGGGAGAUGAGGUGGCCCGCCGAUCCCCGGGUAGGCCGCUAGAGGCCUCCGGCAACGGAGGUCCCAGAGAGAUGGCCGCCGCACCGACCACGGUCGGUGUACAGAACCCGGCUUACAGGCUCGCUCCCUUA
This 355-nucleotide RNase P RNA is filed under the name Bacillota bacterium. RNAcentral's name for it is "RNase P RNA component class A". It matches the Rfam family "Bacterial RNase P class A". From Rfam's summary of the family: Ribonuclease P (RNase P) is a ubiquitous endoribonuclease, found in archaea, bacteria and eukarya as well as chloroplasts and mitochondria. Its best characterised activity is the generation of mature 5'-ends of tRNAs by cleaving the 5'-leader elements of precursor-tRNAs. Lineage: Bacteria; Bacillati; Bacillota. The record is from RNAcentral.